AUUGAACGCUGGCGGCAGGCCUAACACAUGCAAGUCGAGCGGCAGCGGGAAAGUAGCUUGCUACUUUUGCCGGCGAGCGGCGGACGGGUGAGUAAUGCCUGGGAAAUUGCCCAGUCGAGGGGGAUAACAGUUGGAAACGACUGCUAAUACCGCAUACGCCCUACGGGGGAAAGGAGGGGACCUUCGGGCCUUGCGGGAUUGGAUCUGCCCAGGUGGGAUUAGCUAGUUGGUGAGGUAAUGGCCCACCAAGGCGACGAUCCCUAGCUGGUCUGAGAGGAUGAUCAGCCACACUGGAACUGAGACACGGUCCAGACUCCUACGGGAGGCAGCAGUGGGGAAUAUUGCACAAUGGGGGAAACCCUGAUGCAGCCAUGCCGCGUGUGUGAAGAAGGCCUUCGGGUUGUAAAGCACUUUCAGCGAGGAGGAAAGGUUGAUGCCUAAUACGUAUCAACUGUGACGUUACUCGCAGAAGAAGCACCGGCUAACUCCGUGCCAGCCGCCGCGGUAA
Molecule: ribosomal RNA, 508 nt
Filed under: uncultured bacterium
Lineage: Bacteria
Description: partial 16S ribosomal RNA
Rfam family: Bacterial small subunit ribosomal RNA
Source: RNAcentral